UACAGAGGGUGCGAGCGUUAAUCGGAAUUACUGGGCGUAAAGCGCACGUAGGUGGCGACGUAAGUCGGGUGUGAAAGCCCCGGGCUCAACCUGGGAAUUGCAUUCGAGACUGCAUUGCUGGAGUACGGAAGAGGAAGGCGGAAUUCCCGGUGUAGCGGUGAAAUGCGUAGAUAUCGGGAGGAACAUCAGUGGCGAAGGCGGCCUUCUGGUCCAGUACUGACGCUGAGGUGCGAAAGCGUGGGGAGCAAACAGG
Molecule: ribosomal RNA, 253 nt
Filed under: uncultured bacterium
Lineage: Bacteria
Description: partial 16S ribosomal RNA
Rfam family: Bacterial small subunit ribosomal RNA
Source: RNAcentral